Molecule: ribosomal RNA, 429 nt
Filed under: Chloroflexota bacterium
Lineage: Bacteria; Bacillati; Chloroflexota
Description: Chloroflexi bacterium partial 16S ribosomal RNA
Rfam family: Bacterial small subunit ribosomal RNA
Source: RNAcentral
UUGGGAAUAUUGCACAAUGGGCGCAAGCCUGAUGCAGCCAUGCCGCGUGUAUGAAGAAGGCCUUCGGGUUGUAAAGUACUUUCAGUCGGGAGGAAGGUGGUAAGGUUAAUAACCUUAUCAAUUGACGUUACCGACAGAAGAAGCACCGGCUAACUCCGUGCCAGCAGCCGCGGUAAUACGGAGGGUGCAAGCGUUAAUCGGAAUUACUGGGCGUAAAGCGCACGCAGGCGGUUGAUUGAGUCAGAUGUGAAAUCCCCGGGCUUAACCCGGGAAUUGCAUCUGAUACUGGUCAGCUAGAGUCUUGUAGAGGGGGGUAGAAUUCCAUGUGUAGCGGUGAAAUGCGUAGAGAUGUGGAGGAAUACCGGUGGCGAAGGCGGCCCCCUGGACAAAGACUGACGCUCAGGUGCGAAAGCGUGGGGAGCAAACAGG